UACGUAGGGCGCAAGCGUUAUCCGGAAUUAUUGGGCGUAAAGAGCUCGUAGGCGGUUUGUCGCGUCUGCCGUGAAAGUCCGGGGCUCAACUCCGGAUCUGCGGUGGGUACGGGCAGGCUAGAGUGAUGUAGGGGAGACUGGAAUUCCUGGUGUAGCGGUGAAAUGCGCAGAUAUCAGGAGGAACACCGAUGGCGAAGGCAGGUCUCUGGGCAGUAACUGACGCUGAGGCGCGAAAGCAUGGGGAGCGAACAGG
Molecule: ribosomal RNA, 253 nt
Filed under: uncultured bacterium
Lineage: Bacteria
Description: partial 16S ribosomal RNA
Rfam family: Bacterial small subunit ribosomal RNA
Source: RNAcentral